RNAcentral lists this long non-coding RNA (1610 nucleotides) under Nicotiana benthamiana. RNAcentral's name for it is "long non-coding RNA (NBEN_LNC021468)". The record is from RNAcentral. Lineage: Eukaryota; Viridiplantae; Streptophyta; Magnoliopsida; Solanales; Solanaceae.
GCUUACAAAUUAAAUAAGGGCUAGGGAAAUUGUAAUUAAAGCCCAUACUCAGAUUGUCAUUUCAUGGUUCAAUAAAGAAGAGUAUAUGAUUCAUUACUUAAUAAGAAGAAGCUUGGACCUAACAACAAGCCCAAAAUUCUACCAAAGUCUCUACCUUGAGGCAGAGAACCAAAGGACUCCUCGGGGCAGCGAAUUCCCCUGCAUUUCACCAUGACUUUCAUAUUCAGGCCCAAAUGUGGCCUAAAUAUUACAAGAUAUAAGCUGUAGGCGAAAAAACAGAAUUGAGCCUAAAUGGAAACAAGCUGAUAUACAAACGAAAGAGACAUGCCAAAUGACCCUUACAUGUUACUCGUUCCUUUAAAAAAACAAACAACCUUAUAUUAUACCUUGCUAUCGAAUUCAAAUUUUUAUGUUAAAACAUUUCAUUGAAAAAAAUAGAACAAACCAUAUAAUCAUCGCUUAAUGCAAACCUUAAGCAAUGUAAACAUGCUGACACAUUUAAACUUUGAAUAGUUAACCAAAUGAUACUGAAUCCUCAAGAAUCAACCUUCAAACAUCACACAAAAUCAAUAGCCUUAUAACACUAUUACAGGUAAGACUAUUUAAAUUUUUUCAGAAAGAAUACCAAGCUAAACUUAAACUGAGCCUUAUGUUAACAGAUAUAAUAGGAUAGAAACAGGAUCUUAAAACCACCAAAGCUAUUCACUUAUCACAAACCACAAUAGUUAGCCAACAAAUUCUAUCAAUACAAUUAUGUUAUAUGAAUUCUCCCUAACACUAACAGUCCUUAACUUGUAAACCAAACUCCAGUUUUACCUGAACCUCCAAAAAUCAUACUAAAACCUUCAACAUGAUUCUUGGACAUUUUAGAUUCAUUCAAGAGUAGAAGUUAAAUACAAAACAUACUUUCAUAGUCGUAUUUAGCUUCAUUAGUCACAAAAACAUCUACAAAAUGUGCUCAUAUAACUCCUAAACAUGCUAUCUAAUAUUGAAACUAAACAUCUAACUCCAAACACUAGCACGACUUUAUAAUAUGCAAGUAACAGCUCAUUUAACACCUAUCAUUACAGGUCUACUACAUGAUAUGAAACAAUAAGAAAAAUAGAGAAAACCUAAGUCAACACAGCUUGUAUUCCAUCAGACUUCUAGUUGAAUUACAUAAUCAACAUUCAAUCAAUGUUCAUAGGCUAGGGGAUACCUGGAAAUGAAAGGAAACAAGAGGUGAGGGAUCAGCAAUAGCAGUAGCAGAAGUUAGCCCAAAUGCAGUCAAUGAAACAGUGAAACCAAUAGAACAGUAGAAAAACUUUCAAACCAAACUCUUCCCAAGCCCAAGUUCAAUCCAUUUUCACCCAGAUGGCUCGGAAAUUGUUUCAGAAAAGGAAGACUUCAGAAAUCACAGACCAAAACUCAAUGGAACUGUAAUUUUUAUAAAAUUUUAACCUGUUUUCUAUUUUGCAAAAUUUUUCUCCUCCAAGUCUGCCCUAAAAUCUCAAGUAACAACGCAUUUAUAGGAAAACCAUUAGGGCAAACUUAUGGGCUCAGUUUUUGCUUUUUUUCUCCUUUCCCAAUUUUAGUUUUUGCUACUUAAUCCGUGAAAUAUUGACUUGCUU